GGUUGUGUAGUGUAGCGGUUAGCACUCUGGAUUUUGAAGAGGAUCUCUCUCCUUCCAGCGACCCCGGUUCGAACCCGGGCACGACCU
Molecule: non-coding RNA, 87 nt
Organism: Staphylotrichum longicolle
Lineage: Eukaryota; Fungi; Ascomycota; Sordariomycetes; Sordariales; Chaetomiaceae
Source: the annotation of a GenBank genome assembly